UUUUCUUGUCCAUUUCAAUGCUGUCUAAGCGCUCUGAAGAGCUGGAGUCUUGAUGUGGAGAGAGUCGGAUGGCAGGACCGAAGCCAGUGUGGUUUCUGCGGCAGACCUACUCUGACAGGGCCCUGUCAACUCAGCAAGGUUCACAGAGGUUGCUGUGGUUUAGCUGACAAAAGGACUGAAGAGGAACAGGAAGACAGUUUUUGCCUUGCAGUACCUUGGAAAGAAUCAGUCUGAAGAAACAUAUGUUAGGUGAUGAAAUGGGAGUCUCUCCAGUUUGAGAAGAUUUUCUCCAUCUCUGUACAUGCUGUUCCUGAGAGACGUGUCAUGUUGAAGAUUUGCUUACUGAGUUUGAUGUCUUGUGAUAGGAUCUGGUCUGUUCAUUACAACAGUCCCUCAUGAGACGGACAGGACG
This is a long non-coding RNA of Cyprinus carpio carpio, 412 nucleotides long. Lineage: Eukaryota; Metazoa; Chordata; Actinopteri; Cypriniformes; Cyprinidae. The record is from Ensembl.